This 287-nucleotide unclassified non-coding RNA is filed under the name Hevea brasiliensis (rubber tree). Lineage: Eukaryota; Viridiplantae; Streptophyta; Magnoliopsida; Malpighiales; Euphorbiaceae. The record is from RNAcentral.
UCGUUAUAUUAUAAAGCUAAAAAUAUAUUCUGUUUCAACUUUCAACUAAGCAAAAUAAUGUGAAUAUAGAAAUAAAAGCAUCUAGCUUUCAUUUAUCUGAACCGGAGCUUCAUUUGCCGACUUAGCGAAGAAAUAGUCAAUCCGGCGAGUGCCAGGAGGGAGAGGUUUAUCGGUCACAGGAGCAGGACGAGUCUUCUCAGCUGGUGGUUUAUCGGAUAACUGAGUUGUCACGGGAAGCGAGUCAAGAAGAAAAUCACCGGUUGGCUGAUGCCUCUUAACGGCAACUC